CAGAAGUCCAUGUAUUCUAGGAGCAAAGCUAUGGCCAAGACUCAGAAGAGAAAGAGAUCCUGCUGCUGAAAGGAAAGGGUUACCAACUCUGUAAAUGGCCAGCAGUACAGCAGCCUGGGUGAGGACCACUCCAGCCCCAAAAUGAGCUUCUGUCUACCCCAGUGGUGUUUCAGAUGCUUGUAUGCAUAAGGAGUCAUGUCUGUGGGCCAGGGGGCUCAACUACGCAAGCACAGACUGCUGCACAUCCAGACUGUGGGAUUUGAGAAGCAUCAGCAAAACAACAAACCUCGCAAAAAGGCUUCAGAAAAUAGCAUGGCCUUUAAUUGGCAAUAUUACUAAUAGAAAAAAUAAA
Molecule: non-coding RNA, 352 nt
Organism: Cyanistes caeruleus (blue tit)
Lineage: Eukaryota; Metazoa; Chordata; Aves; Passeriformes; Paridae
Source: RefSeq, a predicted model, not a curated record